GAUGAAGAACGUAGCAAAAUGCGAUACGUAAUGUGAAUUGCAGAAUUCAGUGAAUCAUCGAGUCUUUGAACGCACAUUGCGCCCCCUGGUAUUCCGGGGGGCAUGCCUGUCCGAGCGUCAUUGCUGCCCUCAAGCACGGCUUGUGUGUUGGGCCUCCGUCCUCCUCCCGGGGGACGGGCCCGAAAGGCAGCGGCGGCACCGCGUCCGGUCCUCGAGCGUAUGGGGCUUCGUCACCCGCUCUUGUAGGCCCGGCCGGCGCUUGCCGACACAUCAAUCUUUUUUCCAGGUUGACCUCGGAUCAGGUAGGGAUACCCGCUGAACUUAAGCAUAUCAAUAGCGGAGGA
RNAcentral lists this unclassified non-coding RNA (344 nucleotides) under soil metagenome. Its description in RNAcentral is "partial contains 5.8S ribosomal RNA, internal transcribed spacer 2, and large subunit ribosomal RNA". The stretch from base 1 to 120 matches the Rfam family "5.8S ribosomal RNA", at positions 35 to 154 of the family's 154-position model. The record is from RNAcentral.